RNAcentral lists this ribosomal RNA (253 nucleotides) under uncultured bacterium. RNAcentral's name for it is "partial 16S ribosomal RNA". It matches the Rfam family "Bacterial small subunit ribosomal RNA", at positions 524 to 776 of the family's 1533-position model. The record is from RNAcentral.
UACGUAGGGAGCAAGCGUUGUUCGGAUUUACUGGGCGUAAAGGGCGCGUAGGCGGCGCGGUAAGUCACUUGUGAAAUCUCUGAGCUUAACUCAGAACGGCCAAGUGAUACUGCAGUGCUAGAGUGCAGAAAGGGCAAUCGGAAUUCCUGGUGUAGCGGUGAAAUGCGCAGAUAUCAGGAAGAACACCCGUGGCGAAGGCGGUUCUCUGGGACGGUACUGACGCUGAGACGCGAAAGCGUGGGGAGCGAACAGG